UUCGGGGACACCGGCGGACGGCUCAGUAACACGUCGGUAACCUACCCUCGGGAGGGGGAUAACCCCGGGAAACUGGGGCUAAUCCCCCAUAGGCCUGGGGUACUGGAAGGUCCCCAGGCCGAAAGGGGCUCUGCCCGCCCGAGGAUGGGCCGGCGGCCGAUUAGGUAGUUGGUGGGGUAACGGCCCACCAAGCCGAAGAUCGGUACGGGCCAUGAGAGUGGGAGCCCGGAGAUGGACACUGAGACACGGGUCCAGGCCCUACGGGGCGCAGCAGGCGCGAAACCUCCGCAAUGCGGGCAACCGCGACGGGGGGACCCCCAGUGCCGUGGCAAAGCCACGGCUUUUCCGGAGUGUAAAAAGCUCCGGGAAUAAGGGCUGGGCAAGGCCGGUGGCAGCCGCCGCGGUAAUACCGGCGGCCCAAGUGGUGGCCGCUAUUAUUGGGCCUAAAGCGUCC
This 454-nucleotide ribosomal RNA is filed under the name Thermococcus sp. MZ2. Its description in RNAcentral is "bacterial SSU rRNA". It matches the Rfam family "Archaeal small subunit ribosomal RNA", at positions 68 to 520 of the family's 1478-position model. The record is from RNAcentral. Lineage: Archaea; Methanobacteriati; Methanobacteriota; Thermococci; Thermococcales; Thermococcaceae.